GAGUUUGAUCAUGGCUCAGAUUGAACGCUGGCGGCAGGCCUAACACAUGCAAGUCGAGCGGAUGAAGAGAGCUUGCUCUCUGAUUCAGCGGCGGACGGGUGAGUAAUGCCUAGGAAUCUGCCUGGUAGUGGGGGACAACGUUUCGAAAGGAACGCUAAUACCGCAUACGUCCUACGGAGAAAGCAGGGGACCUUCGGGCCUUGCGCUAUCAGAUGAGCCUAGGUCGGAUUAGCUAGUAGGUGAGGUAAUGGCUCACCUAGGCGACGAUCCGUAACUGGUCUGAGAGGAUGAUCAGUCACACUGGAACUGAGACACGGUCCAGACUCCUACGGGAGGCAGCAGUGGGGAAUAUUGGACAAUGGGGGCAACCCUGAUCCAGCGACGCCGCGUGUGUGAAGAAGGCCUGCGGUUGUAAAGCACUUUUAGUGGGGAUGAAAAGCCGAAGGCUAAUACCUUUCGGUCUUGACCCUAACCCAAAGAAAAAGCACCGGCUAACUCUGUGCCAGCA
RNAcentral lists this ribosomal RNA (508 nucleotides) under uncultured Gammaproteobacteria bacterium. RNAcentral's name for it is "bacterial SSU rRNA". It matches the Rfam family "Bacterial small subunit ribosomal RNA", at positions 9 to 513 of the family's 1533-position model. The record is from RNAcentral. Lineage: Bacteria; Pseudomonadati; Pseudomonadota; Gammaproteobacteria.